Sander lucioperca (pikeperch) is the source of this 256-nucleotide long non-coding RNA. RefSeq lists it as uncharacterized. The transcript is spliced from 3 exons. The record is from RefSeq and is a predicted model, not a curated record. NCBI's taxonomy places the organism in Eukaryota, Metazoa, Chordata, Actinopteri, Perciformes, Percidae.
GAGUGUACAGAAAUCAGCGGGGGCAAAAUCUAAACAAGAGCCUGAGACAAAUUCUAUCAAUAUCUGGCCUACGGCAGAUAAUUUGGAUAGUUUGUAUGGUUAUAAGUCAAAGGCUUGCUUCCCAUACACAUACACUGUAUGUUAGGAAUUAAACAUGAAUGUUUGAGGGUGAGGUCGUACCUGAAGGCCUGCGUAGAGUAGACCUUUACUUUGCUCCAGGCCUGCUGAGAUACGGCUGUGACCCCCGAGUUGCGCA